Molecule: long non-coding RNA, 1392 nt
Filed under: Cyanistes caeruleus (blue tit)
Lineage: Eukaryota; Metazoa; Chordata; Aves; Passeriformes; Paridae
Description: lncRNA (ENSCCEG00000014109.1)
Source: RNAcentral
CCCUUCUUCCCUGUGAAAAUACUUUAGAAUGAUCUUAACCUUUUCACAGCAACAGUAGCAGAUGAUGAUAGUAAAGUGCUGCAGGCAACAUAACCACAGACAUACAAACUCAAAACAUUAAGCAUUUUCAAUGUAAGCAGACCUCAGGAGUGUUUAGCUGUCAGAAUCCUAAGGUUAUGAAAUAUUUCUUAACUUUAGUUUCAGAUAAAAAUAAAGUUUGACAGAAGUUCUUAAAUCCUAAGCUAUACAAUCUAAACAUAUUUUUGUUGUGGGAAUUUAGUCCACUUUCCAGUAUUAAAAAAUGUUAUGUCAUUCAGAUAGAUCAAUGUUUCCACAAGGAUAGCUGGUAUGACGCAGAGCAUUUUAUUUUUUACUAAAUAAAAAAUAUGAUAAGAAAUAAAUCUUUAUUUAUUCUAAAUAAAUAGAAUUUCUAAAUAAAAAAUUUAGAAAUUCUAAAUAAAUUUUGUUGUCUCCAGAUUAGCAGGAUCACAGUCUUCCACUUCCUAUGCAGUGCUAUAUAACAAAGUAUCUAUCUCACUGUGUUUUUACCUGAUUUGAAUUUUCAGUCUUCUCCAUCUUAAGUAUCUUUAUCUUGUUCUCCCUUAUGUCCCCCUUAGAGAUCCCUCUAUCACCUUUAUUACUUCUCUGUAGAGCUUCACAAUGAUCAUGUAUUACUCAAAUGCGUAUUAAAAGUGUCAUAUUCACAGUUUCAAUCUAUGUUACUACUUCAGUAUUCCUCAAAUAAGUCUAAGAGUUCCAGAUAAGCCCACUACAUCUGCUUUGGAAUUAAGAAAAGCUGUUGAGUUGGAAAAGGCAAUUUGGUUAGGAAUGUUCUUCUGGUGAAGAGGUGCUGGUGAACAUCUUGCCCUUAACACUGUUAUACUACCACAUACAGACAUGUCAGCUUCACACCCUGAACAUCAGGUUACUGUUUAAUUACUACCCUGUGUCUCCUUUCUCAUAAAAUUAUGGUCUUUCAUAAGAAUUUUGUCCAAUAUCCAGAAAACUCCUGAGGAGACAGAGCAACAUUCCACCUCAGAAAAACCCAUGGAAAUGCAGAGCGCCGUGAAACCAGAGUUUUCAGCACCAGCCUCAAUUAGGACAUAAAGUAGGUAAUGGGAGCUGAAGUCAUCCACCUUGGUGCCCCACAAUGAAAACCAUAAACCAUUAACACAUUUUAACAACUCCCCAACUGCAUUCAAGAUAGCCUUUCAGCAGUAAUUUAAACCUGGUAAGUACCUGCAGCAGCUAUUUAAGUAAUCAGAAGCCCCAGAUUAGGAAUACAAUGUGCAUCCUCUUUGAUUUCUUUCUUUGCCCGGAGCUAUAGGUAGCUAAUUCUUUAAAAUGUGAAAGGUUAGUGCACAGAAUAAAUAGACAUCAUGGAUAAAGCCA